AUUGCUGGUAAAUAUUUUUAAUUUCCAAUUUUGUUUUACGGCAAAAAAAAAUUUUAGAUAUACAAUAAUGUAAAGUUUGCUGUUAUAUAUUAUAAUAUGUUUUCUGUACGUAGCCUCGAUGCUAGAUUUUUUCCCGCCACUGUAAUAGAAGCAAGCAUAGGCCAAACAAACGGUACUCUUGAAAAGCAAACGAAAAAGACAAAAGGGAACAUGCAAGGUAGCGCGCGGUUUUUCUCGCAGAUUUCAUUUGAAAGAGUAAAGUUCAGCCACAAGUGUUCUUACAAAAUUACCAAAUUUUUUACCAACCAACCAUAAAUUAUUCUUUUCCCAGGUACCGCUCUUUAAAUCCAUUUUGGGGAAUAAUUUAAUAAAAAACUUGGACCAAAUAAUAAGCCCUGAAGUAAUCAUGCAAUUAAAUUACAGUGGGUCUAGACAUAAAUAUGGACUUGCAAAUUUCCACAACAUAAAUUCAGUCCUGCAAGAAUCAGACGUCCGGUUGGCCUUUAUGCGCCAAAAAAAUAAAAUAUAUAAGGAGAGAAGCGCAUUAAGGAGGCCCACCCGGAGCCAGGAGCCGAACCGUACGAUUCUGACUCUGAAUAAAAAUAAAUAAAUAAAAAUAUGAAAUUGAAA
Non-coding RNA from Drosophila suzukii, 630 nucleotides. The record is from RefSeq and is a predicted model, not a curated record. Lineage: Eukaryota; Metazoa; Arthropoda; Insecta; Diptera; Drosophilidae.